GACGAACCGUGCGAACGUUAUUCGGAAUCAUUGGGCUUAAAGGGCGCGUAGGCGGCGGUGUAAGUUGGAAGUGAAAUCCCAUCGGCUCAACCGUGGAAUAGCUCCCAGUACUGCAUCGCUCGAGGGGGAUAGGGGUCUGCGGAACUACCGGUGGAGCGGUGAAAUGUGUUGAUAUCGGUGGGAACGCCAGUGGCGAAAGCGGCAGACUUGACCCUUCCUGACGCUGAGGCGCGAAAGCUAGGGGAGCAAACGGG
RNAcentral lists this ribosomal RNA (254 nucleotides) under uncultured bacterium. RNAcentral describes it as "partial 16S ribosomal RNA". It matches the Rfam family "Bacterial small subunit ribosomal RNA", at positions 524 to 776 of the family's 1533-position model. The record is from RNAcentral.